Long non-coding RNA from Planococcus citri (citrus mealybug), 1053 nucleotides. RefSeq lists it as uncharacterized. NCBI's taxonomy places the organism in Eukaryota, Metazoa, Arthropoda, Insecta, Hemiptera, Pseudococcidae. The transcript has 4 exons. The record is from RefSeq and is a predicted model, not a curated record.
GAGUAUGAAGUGAACCAAAGAAAAUACUAUACAAUUACACAUCACAGUAUACAUUAUAAUCAUUACAGGAUUAGCUGUUACAAUGCAGUCAUUGGCAAAAAAUUUACCUGGUCAAGUGAUAUGCUUUCAAUACUAUUUUGGUGAAGUGGCAGACUAUUCAUUUGAGGAAUUACGCGAUUACUUUGCCAAAUACAUACUAGAAAAUUUCAAUUCGAACCGGGAAUUCUGCUUAAUUGGUCACAGUUUGGGUGGAUUGAUAGCUUUAGAAGCGGCCAACAUUUUAGAAGAACAGGGGAAAAAAGGAUAUGUGUACUUGAUAGAAUCUUCUCCGACAUAUUUCCAAAAAAGGCAAACUAGAGAAGACAAUUUCUAUGAUGAAGAGAUGCAAAUCAGAGUCUGUUCCCUUACAAUGUCAGUAUUUUUACCAACAACUCCAAGAGAAGAAUUCAUUGGAUUGAUAAAAAAGACAAUUGGUUGGCCGUUGAAGAAAAAAUUAUGCCUAUCUUUACUAUCAUCAGGAAUGAAAAAUAAAAACGCACUGGAUGUGCUGCUCGACAGAAUUUACAAUGCAACCAAAGCAUUACGCACUUACCAAAUUUCUCGAGUAUCACUUAAAUCAUAUGGUAUUCUAAUACGAUGUGUGGAGAAUCCACUUGACACUGAUAACGCUUAUGGCUUCUCAGAGUACUUCAAGCAUCCCAUACAAAUUCAUAAAAUUGAUGCUGGUCACACUACAAUUUUGCAUCAUCCAAAAACUUUGGAAAUUUUGUUGGAAUGCUCAUUAUGGAAGAAUUGACCAGCAAUUAUUUGCGGACUUUUAUGAGAGAAUCGUAGUAAGAAAUUAUUCGCCUACAAUAUUAUUGAAUAUUGUUACACAAUUUGCAUGAGAAUAAUAAUUCUGGAACUCAAAUUAUCACCUACUCAAAUGGACUGUUGGAUUUUUAGAAAUCGACAGUGCUUAGUAAAAAUUUACUACUUAUUAUUUAAGCCUCAUUCAAGUACUGAAUAUGUAUGUGAUUUAAGCACCUUCAAAUAUGAAUAAAGAAUGAUUUA